RNAcentral lists this ribosomal RNA (279 nucleotides) under uncultured bacterium. RNAcentral's name for it is "partial 16S ribosomal RNA". It matches the Rfam family "Bacterial small subunit ribosomal RNA", at positions 506 to 784 of the family's 1533-position model. The record is from RNAcentral.
UGCCAGCCGCCGCGGUAACACGAAUGGAGCGAGCGUUGUUCGGAAUCACUGGGCGUAAAGCGUAUGUAGGCGGAAUUGAAAGUCAGAAGUGAAAUCCCGGGGCUUAACCCCGGAACUGCUUUUGAAACUUCAAUUCUAGAGUUCUGGAGAGGCAAGGGGAAUUCCGAGUGUAGAGGUGAAAUUCGCAGAUAUUCGGAGGAACACCAGUGGCGUAGGCGCCUUGCUGGACAGAUACUGACGCUGAGAUACGAAAGCGUGGGGAGCAAACAGGAUUAGAUA